Long non-coding RNA from Xiphophorus hellerii (green swordtail), 2480 nucleotides. RefSeq lists it as uncharacterized. The record is from RefSeq and is a predicted model, not a curated record. NCBI's taxonomy places the organism in Eukaryota, Metazoa, Chordata, Actinopteri, Cyprinodontiformes, Poeciliidae. The transcript has 2 exons.
CUUCGGACCGGUUCUGAUGGUUCUGGACCGGUUCUGAUGGGAUCAGGAAGCUCAAGAUCUGCAGGUCAGCCCGGUUUGGACCCAGAACUCCUGAGAUGGAUCAGAACCAGGUUUGGGCUGGUUCUGAUCCGUUCUUAGAUGUGUGUUCAUCGGCCAGUUUAUUAGGUACAACGAGCUGAAACCGGAUCAGAUCCGGUUAGUUCUUUAUGGCUCGGAUACAAUCUGGACCCUCAGAGGUUCUGAGGAUUCCAGCCGGAUCAGAACCGAGUCAGCCAGAUUCAACAGAGAGUCCAUCUGCCGCAGCUGGUUCUGGUUCUGUCAGCGGUUCUGCUGUGGUUUCAGUUGGACUGACACGCCCUGGACAGAACUCCAGCUCUGACUCCUCUCGGUCUGUUUGGGUUUGGUUCUGGUCGGGUUCUGAUCCAGAUGGUAGAACCGUAGCUCUGACUCCUCUCGGUCUGUUUGGGUUUGGUUCUGGUCGGGUUCUGAUCCAGAUGGUAGAACCGUAGCUCUGACUCCUCUCGGUCUGUUUGGGUUUGGUUCUGGUCGGGUUCUGAUCCAGAUGGUAGAACCGUAGCUCUGACUCCUCUCGGUCUGUUUGGGUUUGGUUCUGGUCGGGUUCUGAUCCAGAUGGUAGAACCGUAGCUCUGACUCCUCUCGGUCUGUUUGGGUUUGGUUCUGGUCGGGUUCUGAUCCAGAUGGUAGAACCGUAGCUCUGACUCCUCUCGGUCUGUUUGGGUUUGGUUCUGUUUGGUCCCAGCUUUCUGUCCCGACCGGGUCGGGUUCUGAUCAGGUUCUGGUUCGGUUCUGGUCCGGAUGGCAGAACUUUGCUCUGGGUUGGUUUGUUGGUUUAGAAACCGAAGCAGUUCAACGCGACAGACGUCUCACUCUGCUUAUAUUUGCCUCUGAUUAAACAUAACCCAAAACUGAACUGAGCAGAACCAGAGGUAGUUUGGGCCGGUACCGCUCGUUCAGACAGUCUUAUCGUCAUGGCGAUGGUCUUCAUAUGAACUCUGCAGAUUUAAGGAAAUGUUUCUAAAUGUUUAGCUGCAUUAACCCUUUGAAUGCUCUGGAGGUGUGGAGCCGGAAUGGUUCUGGUUCUAGUAGCUGGGCUAGCGUUAGGAUUGGAGCUGUGGGUUUAUUGGUCAGGAAGGUUCUGAUGGUUCAGAUCCAACAGAGAUCUGAACAGAACCAGUCCAAGAAUCUGAUGCAGAGUUUCUCCCAGAAAACUAGCUUAGCCUGGCGGUAGCGUGCUAGCUAGGUCGGCCCGUUAGCGGUCCGUUUGGUUUUUAUUUUACAAAAUAUUACAAGUUGACGUAAAAUUAUGCUUAGGUAAUAAUGUGUUUGUCGUCUUAAAAGAAGAAAAAAACAUAUCAAUCAAAUAUCAAUAUUUUGCUGUUCAGUUAAACCCUAAUUCAGUAAUCAGCCGGUGGAAAACUGGAAAUUAAUGAGAAAAUAUUUGCUUUAUUAAAUUUUUGCUGGGUGAAAAACCCCAUUAUUGCUAUUAUGAAGUUUUCAUGUGUUUAUUUUAGUCACGUUUUGCUUCCCGGGAUGUGAUUGGUUGUUAUUUUAUCGAAUUGAAUGCAGGAUUUGUGAGGCGAACUCUGAUUGGAUGAAACAGACCUGCCUGUGAUUGGCUAGUAGUGCAGACUGAACUAAUCGCUGCCAGAACCCGAUCUGAGUGAGACGUAAAUCUUCAGCAUUCAUAGAGAUAAAUAUACACAGAUCAGGCUCACAGAGACCUGCAAAUAUACCCAUAAUGCACUGCAGCCGCCAUGAUGCUGCGUCUUGGAUUGAUAUCUAUUACUGGAUUGGACGUCAUAUGAUUUAUUGUGCGCCACACAGGCGCCACUGCUAAGUAUUAGUCAGGAAUAUCUGCAGUUGGGAAAAUGACAAUCAGGCAAAUCAGUGGUGGAGAAAGUACUCAAAAAAUUUUACUGAAGUAAAAGUACAACAUUAACAUUUUUACUUGAGUUAAAGUAAAAAAAAAUACUUAAGAUCUAAAAGUAAAAGUACUUGCUGAAUGCAUUAUCUAAUUGCUAAUACAAUAUCCUUAAGUGUACCCAUCGUAUUUAAUUUUAGUACAUCAGAAAUGUCCCAUUUUAAUGAACAAUGACACAGAUAAAGCAUGUUGUUGUUGUGUUUACUCUGUAACAUAUUUAGACUUAGAUAUGUGAUUCUAUGGAUCAUAAUUUCAGGGAUGGAAACAUUUUGUCUCCUGUUCUAACAUAGAAUAAACUUCACUUUUUUGCCACUAGUGGCAUUUAUUUUGAAAGAAAUCCAUCAGAAAGGGGAUGGAAAGAAGGUGGAGGAGGACAUGCAACCAAGGCAGCAGUGUUGUAGUCAAGGCCACCGAACCUGAGACCAAAACGCCGCGCUACAUGACUCUAUAAAAUUAAGUGCACUUAUAAAAAUUGCUUCUCAAAUUGAUCUGAAAAAUCCACGUUCCCAUAAAAACACCGAGAUAUUAAAUACUUAGA